UACGUAGGGUGCAAGCGUUAAUCGGAAUUACUGGGCGUAAAGCGUGCGUAGGCGGUUUGUUAAGUCCGCUGUGAAAGCCCUGGGCUCAACCUGGGAAUUGCAGUGGAUACUGGCAAGCUAGAGUGCGGUAGAGGAUGGUGGAAUUCCCGGUGUAGCGGUGAAAUGCGUAGAGAUCGGGAGGAACACCUGCGGCGAAGGCGGUUGCUGGGCCGACACUGACGCUGAAGCGCGAAAGCCAGGGAGCGAACGGG
This 251-nucleotide ribosomal RNA is filed under the name uncultured bacterium. RNAcentral describes it as "partial 16S ribosomal RNA". It matches the Rfam family "Bacterial small subunit ribosomal RNA", at positions 524 to 776 of the family's 1533-position model. The record is from RNAcentral.